GCACUUGCUGAAUGCUUAAGAGUGCCAGGGCUUCAUUUGGGUUUAAUUCUGACUUUCUGGCUGCUCCCUUUCCAGUGCCAAUUUAAGGUCUUGCACUGAUGACCAUAAUUGCAGGAUUUGAUAAUAUCUGUGGACCAGUGAUGGUGUUGUAGAGGCUCUUAGAAACUUUGUUGUACCAAAAAUAACAAGAAUGACCUGGGCAAAAUAUUUCUUAUUCUUAAAGACUGCCAUUGGUACACAUGAACAAGGCCACAGCUGGGGCUUUCAAUUGAAAAUUGACUGGAAGUGUGAAGGUUAGCUCUGUGAGUGGAAGCAUCUUGGUGGAGCGAAGCCAGACGGACUGCCACGGGACGUUCCCCACCAUUCCUAGGAGAAAGACCUCUGCAUUUCCACAGCAUGCUGUUUGAAUUGGCAGCUGGCUGUGCCCACACAAACCAAUCCACAGGGGUAUUCCAGCAUGUGCAUGAGAUAAAACCCCCACAGU
Molecule: long non-coding RNA, 484 nt
Filed under: Parus major (Great Tit)
Lineage: Eukaryota; Metazoa; Chordata; Aves; Passeriformes; Paridae
Description: lncRNA (ENSPMJG00000012761.1)
Source: RNAcentral